CCAAUAGCGUAUAUUAAAGUUGUUGCAGUUAAAAAGCUCGUAGUUGAAUUUCGGGAUCAAUUUAUCGGUCGUGCCUCUGGUAUGCACUGGUAUUAUUGAUUUCUACCUUCUGACGAACCAUGAUGUCAUUAAUUUGGUGUCAUGGGGAAUCAGGACUGUUACUUUGAAAAAAUUAGAGUGUUUAAAGCAAGCACACGCUUGAAUACAUUAGCAUGGAAUAAUGAAAUAGGACGUUUGACCCUAUUUUGUUGGUUUCUAGGAUCGACGUAAUGAUUAAUAGGGAUAGUUGGGGGCAUUAGUAUUCAAUUGUCAGAGGUGAAAUUCUUGGAUUUAUUGAAGACUAACUACUGCGAAAGCAUUUGCCAAGGAUGUUUUCAUUAAUCAAGAACGAAAGUUAGGGGAUCGAAGACGAUCAGAUACCGUCGUAGUCUUAACCAUAAACUAUGCCGACUAGGGAUCGGAUGAUGUUAAUUUUUUAAUGACUCAUUCGGCGCCUUACG
Molecule: ribosomal RNA, 500 nt
Filed under: uncultured Glomeromycotina
Lineage: Eukaryota; Fungi; Glomeromycota
Description: partial small subunit ribosomal RNA
Rfam family: Eukaryotic small subunit ribosomal RNA
Source: RNAcentral